Molecule: long non-coding RNA, 1147 nt
Organism: Homo sapiens (human)
Lineage: Eukaryota; Metazoa; Chordata; Mammalia; Primates; Hominidae
Gene: CCDC26
Product: CCDC26 long non-coding RNA
Source: Ensembl
ACGCUACAGUGCUACUGGCCCAUAAUCAGGCAACUGCAGAGUCUUAGGGGGUUAUCUAAUGUAGUCUUGGGGUGGCUGGAUAGACUUCCCAAAGAAGGUGAUGCCGAAGCUGAGGUCGGAAAUUACGAAGAUCAGCUAUCAAACUUGGAAAUCAUGUCUUAGAGAUCAAGGAGCCAAGAGAUGAGACAAGCCUGGGUUCCUAGGUGAUAGGGUGUGGCUGUGUCCCCACCCAAAUCUCGUCUUGAAUUGUAGCUCCCAUAAUCCCCACAUGUUGUGGAGGGACCCUGUGGAAGGUAAUUGAAUUAUGGAGAGAAACAUCAUCAGUGGUGUAGAAGAGCUCAGGGAAGCAAGGAGGGCUGCUGUGAAUGACACCAUGAAUUUCUGAAUGUGAUGUCCCUUCAAUUCAUGAGCACGACCAACACCUCCUCUUCUCCGUCCUUUGCAGCCUACUCACUGUGAAGACAAUGAGGGUGAAAACCUUCAUGAUGAUCCACUUCCACUUCAUGAACAGGAAAUAUGUUUUUUCUCUUCCUUAUGAUUUUUUAAAAACAUUUUCUUUUCUCUUGCAUGCUUGAUUGUAAGAGUGCAGUACAUAUUAUAUAUAUAUAAUAUACAAAAUAUGUGUUAAUCAGCUAUGUGUUAGCCAACUAUGUUAUUAAUGUAAGACUUUUUAUGAUUUUCUAUAUAACAUUUUCUUUUUUCUAGCUUACUUUAUUAUAGGAAUACAGUAUACAGUACGUACAACAUGCAAAAUCAGUGUUAAUCAACAGUUUAUGUUAUUGGCAAGGCUUCAGGUCAAUAGUAGGCUAUUUGUAGUUAAGUUUUCUAGUUAAAGUUGUAUGUGGAUUUUCACCCGCUUGGGGGUUCGGCACCCCUAAGCUCUGUUUUGCUCAAGGUCAACUGUAUAAUUUUUCAGCCUUGGCCCAUUGGCAAAUGGACAGAAACAUUUGUAAACUUUGCAACUACAAAGAAAAGUACAGUUUGGGGGCAAUAAAAAGUUAAAAUUUCUUUUGGAUAUUGAUAGAAACUUCAAAGAAAGAUGAUGCAAGACUAUGAAUACAAAUAAGUUUUAAAAAUCAUGUCAAAGAUGAUUCCUUUUAUUGUUCUUAGAACACUGUAAUGUAUAGAAUAAACUCAGUUUUAAAUG